Molecule: long non-coding RNA, 791 nt
Organism: Phyllopteryx taeniolatus (common seadragon)
Lineage: Eukaryota; Metazoa; Chordata; Actinopteri; Syngnathiformes; Syngnathidae
Exons: 3
Source: RefSeq, a predicted model, not a curated record
CUGCCCUUGAUGGGCGGCUGAUCACCCAUAUCCAGCAAGAGACUGCUCCCGUUUCCCUCAAGCUGUCAGGUAACCAUCUUGAGACUUUAAGUUUUCAUGUUUUCCCUUGUCUUCAAGUUCCAAUCGUGCUUGGCUUGCCUUGGCUGAGGCUCCAUAACCCCAUCAUCGACUAGACCGUGCCCAAGAUCACCUCAUGGAGCAAGUUCUGUCAUGAGAACUGCUUGCGAUCUGCUGCGGUGCCCCCAAGUGGCCGAAGUCGGAGUAAAUUCCCUGACCUAUCAGGCCUUACAAUUGCGCUAUUGAACUACAGCCCGGUGCACAGCUACCUAGCAGCCGUCUUUUUAACAUCUCUCGUCCAGAGCAGGAGGCCAUGGAGACCUACAUCAGCGAGUCAUUGGGUGCAGGGCAACAGUUUUCACCAAGUUGGAUCUGCGCCAGGCCUACUACCUUGUCCGCAUUCGGGUGGGAGACGAGUGGAAGACAGCAUUUAACACCCAUAGAGGGCACUACGAGUACCUCGUAAUGCCUUUCGGCCUGACCAAUGCCCCUGCUGUCUUCCAGGCACUAGUCAAUGACGUCCUCCGUGACAUGAUCAGAAAAUGUGUUUUUGUGUACGUGGAUGACAUCCUGGUUUUCUCCCGUUCCGUCGCAGAUCACGAACGACAUGUUCGACAAGUACUUCAGAGACUCCUUGAGAACAAGCUCUUUGUUAAAGCAAAAAAGUGUGAGUUCCAUGUUCCAAAGACCACCUUUUUGGGUUACGUCAUUGCUGAGGGGCAGCUUCAAAUGGA